Molecule: long non-coding RNA, 221 nt
Filed under: Elaeis guineensis (African oil palm)
Lineage: Eukaryota; Viridiplantae; Streptophyta; Magnoliopsida; Arecales; Arecaceae
Description: long non-coding RNA (EGUI_LNC004711)
Source: RNAcentral
GAGGGAUGAGCAAAAUCAGAUGCUAUUGAUAUGAUGAGUUGGGACGUCAAGUCAGAGAUUGUAUGCAGCUCAAAGAUCAAAUGAAGGCAACUGUGGUGAUGGCAAGUAGUGAUACAGAAGAUAGUGAUGUUCUUCUAGUAUCAGAUGAGGUAUCUACUUCUUCUCCCUAGUGAAUUUUGGGUUCUGCAUGUUUGCAUCAUAUAUAUUGUAAAGAGGACCCG